Molecule: ribosomal RNA, 495 nt
Filed under: uncultured bacterium
Lineage: Bacteria
Description: partial 16S ribosomal RNA
Rfam family: Bacterial small subunit ribosomal RNA
Source: RNAcentral
GACGAACGCUGGCGGCGUGCCUAAUACAUGCAAGUAGAACGCUGAAGGAGGAGCUUGCUUCUCUGGAUGAGUUGCGAACGGGUGAGUAACGCGUAGGUAACCUGCCUGUUAGCGGGGGAUAACUAUUGGAAACGAUAGCUAAUACCGCAUAAGAGUAGAUGUCGCAUGACAUUUGCUUAAAAGGUGCAAUUGCAUCACUACCAGAUGGACCUGCGUUGUAUUAGCUAGUUGGUGAGGUAACGGCUCACCAAGGCAAGGAUACAUAGCCGACAUGAGAGGGGGGUCGGCCACCCUGGGAGGGUGACACGGCCCAGACGGCUUCGGGAGGCAGCAGUAGGGAAUCUUGGGCAAUGGGUGGAAGUCUGACCGAGAAACGCGGAGGGAGGGAAGAAGGUUGUCGGAUCGGAAAGCACGGUUGUAAGGGAAGAACGAGUGUGAGAGUGGAAAGUACACAGUGUGACGGUAACUGAUAGGAAAGGGACGGCUAACUACGUG